Molecule: long non-coding RNA, 420 nt
Organism: Poecilia latipinna (sailfin molly)
Lineage: Eukaryota; Metazoa; Chordata; Actinopteri; Cyprinodontiformes; Poeciliidae
Exons: 4
Source: RefSeq, a predicted model, not a curated record
CGGCGAAGCGGCUCCUUCUGCGGCCUCUUCGCUGAGAACUGAUUCCCAGAGGUCGCCAUUGACCGGGAAAAGUGGAAAACAGUCCGAUCCAGCCUCACUCCGGACCGGCGCUUCACUUCCAGCAUCACGGCUCCUCUCAGUGCGUCUCACACUAAUUCCAGUUUCAGCGCCUCUUGGAUGAAAGAAGGCAGAUUCAGCUCAGCAGUACGCCUCCACCUGCUGCUCCGGUGGAUGCUCCACCUCCUCAAACACGUACGGCGCUCCGGUGGAAGGCUUGUGGCCGUUUACCAGCGGUUCUGGCAGAACCUGCAGGUCCGCCGGAGAUGCAGUCAGGCCCUGUGGAUGUUUUUGAGCCUGAUGUAGCUCCGUAGUUGUGCUGUUACCUGAGAGGGCGGUGCACAUGGCGGCGAAGGCACUGAG